This is a long non-coding RNA of Gossypium raimondii (Peruvian cotton), 741 nucleotides long. RefSeq lists it as uncharacterized. The record is from RefSeq and is a predicted model, not a curated record. The transcript is spliced from 3 exons. NCBI's taxonomy places the organism in Eukaryota, Viridiplantae, Streptophyta, Magnoliopsida, Malvales, Malvaceae.
CCGAUGGGUGCCCGAGGCUCCCGCACAUCCAAGCACCAAGUUGCCGAUGGUGUCCGAGGCUCCCGCACAUCCUAGCCACCGAGGUGCCGAUGCUGCCCGAGGCUCCCGCACGACCAAGGGCCGAGGUGCCGAUGGUGGCCGAGGCCCCCGCACGACCAAGGGCCUAUUUUACCGAUGGUGCCCGAGGCUCCCGCACGACCAAGGGCUUAGUUUGCCGAUGGUGCCCGAGCCUCUCGCACGACCAAGGGCCUAGGUUGCCGAUGGUGCCCGAGGUUCCCGCACAUCCAAGCACCAAGGUGUCGAUGGUGCUCGAGGCUCCCGCACGACCAAGGGCCUAGGUUGCCGACAGUGUCCGAGGCUCCCGCACGACCAAGGGCCUAGUUUGCCGAUGGUGUCCGAGGCUCCCGCACAUCCCAAAGCACCUAGGGGCCGAUGGCGGCCGAGGCACCCGCACGACCAAGGGCCUAUUUUCUCGAUGGUGCCCGAGGCUCCCGCACGACCAAGGGCUUAGUUUGCCGAUGGUGCCCGAGCCUCUCGCACGACCAAGGGCCUAGGUUGCCGAUGGUGCCCGAGGUUCCCGCACAUCCAAGCACCAAGGUGCCGAUGGUGCUCGAGGCUCCCGCACGACCAAGGGCCUAGGUUGCCGACAGUGUCCGAGGCUCCCGUACAUCAUAGCACCGAGGUGCCGAUGGUCUCCGAGGCUUCCCACAACCAAGGGCAUAAUUUGCCGAUGGUGUCCGA